Molecule: unclassified non-coding RNA, 2664 nt
Filed under: uncultured fungus
Lineage: Eukaryota; Fungi
Description: sequence contains 18S rRNA gene, ITS1, 5.8S rRNA gene, ITS2, 28S rRNA gene
Rfam family: Eukaryotic large subunit ribosomal RNA (bases 1491-2664)
Source: RNAcentral
GGAAGGAUCAUUACCGAGCUAAAUAAAAAAGUACUCUUACUGAAAUACGGGUCCGUCGUAACCCAGUAUAAAGAAGUACUAUGCUUUGUUCUUUACCAGCGCGAAACGCAGUUAGGCGCAAAAGAAAGCGCAAUACUGUCGUUGGUAAUAUAUAUAAAAAAACAAAGCUAUCAGGGAUAACUGGUAAAAAAAAAACUAGACUAGAAAAGGGUUUAGUAGUCGGCUUAUUAACCACUCGUAAUGCAUAUAUCGGGUCGUCGAGUCAGCGGAGUUUGGAUACCUGCUCGCGAUCUAGUCUGUGGGAUGCAUAUGAGUCGAAGCGUUAGUAAGUCGGUGAAAUCUCGUAGUAUAGUCUAAGUUUAAAAAAAGAAAAUAGUAUCCCUUUCUCUAUCUAGAGCGAGUCUUAUAUAAUAUUUUUGAUUCGUAAUAUAUGUGCGCGGGUCGUCGAGGCGGCCUAGAAUGUGGGAUAUAUACGAAUUAAUAAAUAGACUCCUGCAAAAUGCUCUAGAUAUAGAUUAACAGACGAGCGGGAUUACGAGUAUCAUAAUUCUUACUCUAAUUCUUUUUCGGGUACCUAUCGAAUCUAGCGAUACAGCUAACGUCUGGCUGUACAGUAAACUCGUUAGAUUCGAGGAUCUUAGUACCGAUAUCUAGUAAUCGCUUAUAAUAUAUAGUCUUCGGACUCGGCGUUUUGCUAGAUAAAGGGAAUGGACAGAUUUAAAGAGUUAUCGGCUUGAAGAUACUUGAGCGUAAAUAUUCUCGGUAUUCUUUAGGCGGUUAAUUGAUUAGUAGCCGCGCAAAUAUAUAUCGGUGAAACUCAGUUAGCUCAGGGUGCCUUCUUAGUUGAGGGUACUCGGGUAACCGCCCGAAAACCAAACAAAGUUAUAUUAAUAUUAUAUAUAUAUAAAACUUUGCUAGAAAGUAAAGUAUUAUUAAAAAUUAAGAAUCCUAGAGAGAUUCCAUUCCAAGCGGUGGAUCACUAGGCUCGUGGGUCGAUGAAGAACGGGGCCAGCCCCGAGAAUAAGUGCGAAUUGCAGACACAAAGAACAUCGACGUUUCGAACGCAUAUUGCGGUAUCGGGCCAGCUCGAUACCACGCCUAUCUGAGGGUCGAAUUAAGAAUAAAAUUCGGCUACGUUCUAAAGUAAGAUUUUAGACGUAUAUAUAAGAAAUAGACUCUAGACUAGUCUUUAAGGACGGUCGUCGAGUCUUAAAAUGCUCGUCGUAAAUAAUACGAGUAUUAGAAAAAGUACGUAUACACAUUGGCCAGCCAUGUCUACGGCAAGCUAGACGAGGGUUAGCUAAAAGGUAUAUAGGUACUAGUUAUAAUAGCUAAAGUCUAUAUAGACGGACGUCAUCAAAGUUAAUAACUAAAAGUUAACCAGAGUAAUAAACUGGUCGGAAAAUACUUUUAGUCUUCGACGUAAAUAUGAUCGAUUCGUCGCGUUUAUAAUAUACGUAUAGACGAUAAGCUAUAUAAAUAACGAAAUUUGACCUCAGAUUAGACGUGAAAACCCGCCGAAUUUAAGCAUAUAACUAGGCGGAGGAAAAGAAAUUAACGAAGAUUUCCCUAGUAACGGCGAGUGAAAAGGAAAUAGUUCAGCGCUGAAUCCCUUAGCCCAUGGUUAAGGGACCUGUAGCGUGAAGGAGAGCCUAUCUGUCGGGUUGUUGGCUUCGGAAUAUCCCUCGAAUGGGAACCCAAAGCAGGUGCGAGGCCUGUAACGAGGUGAUAUCCGUCAGUUUGCGCCUCCUUAGAGUCGGGUUACUUGAGAGUGUAGCCCAAAGCGGAAGGUAAACCCCUUCUAAAGCUAAAUAUUACCACGAGACCGAUAGCGAACAAGUACCGCGAGGGAAAGUUGAAAAGAACUUUGAAGAGAGAGUUCAAAAGGGCGUGAAACCGCUUAGAAGAAAACGGACGGAGCCGUCGGGAGCCUUCGGGAAUCAGUCUUACGAUACACGAAAGUAUCAUAGUUUAGGAACGCAAGUCCGACUAUGGUAUAGUAUGAAGUAGUGUUCGUGCGGCGCAUUUCUCGAAGGUAAGCACUGCGACCGAUACGAAAGGCCGACGAGGCGUUUGGAUUGAGGGCGAGUCCUCUUACGGGGACUCGUAACCAGUCUAUUCGUUCCAUAGUCGUUGGACCGCAGUAUGUAUCGAGCGCCAAAGUCUAUAUAUACGUCGGCGUAAACGCUCGCUCGAGUAAUGGAUAGUUGGUCAAUAGCGUUGGUAUCUGCUCGCAGGUGCUAGCCUAUUCGAUUCGGCUAAGAAGUUAUCGGCGACAUACGACGUAUAGGCGUCCGCAGUGUCAGUGUCGGCCACCCGUCCGACCCGUCUUGAAACACGGACCAAGGAGUCUAACAUAUGCGCGAGCUAAUGGGUGGAAAACCCAAAGGCGCAAUAAAAGUAAACGCUGUUUCGGACAGCUAAGGUACGAUCCAAGGAUUCGAGCGAUCCUAGGCGCAGUACCGUCCCGUCCCGACCGCAUAUCGGUAGGGCGGAGAUAGAGUGCAUACGUUGGGACCCGAAAGAUGGUGAACUAUGCCUGAGCAGAGCGAAGCCAGAGGAAACUCUGGUGGAGGUUCGUAGCGGUUCUGACGUGCAAAUCGAUCGUCAGACUUGGGUAUAGGGGCGAAAGACUAAUCGAACCAUCUAGUAGCUGGUUCCCCC